UUCCGGUUGAUCCCGCCGGACCUGACUGCUAUCGGAUUGAUACUAAGCCAUGCGAGUCAUUGUAGCAAUACAAGGCAGACGGCUCAGUAACGCGUAGUCAACCUAACCUAUGGACGGGAAUAACCUCGGGAAACUGAGAAUAAUACCCGAUAGAACACUAUACCUGGAAUGGUUUGUGUUCCAAAUGAUUUAUCGCCGUAGGAUGGGACUGCGGCCUAUCAGUUUGUUGGUGAGGUAAUGGCCCACCAAGACUAUUACAGGUACGGGCUCUGAGAGGAGUAGCCCGGAGAUGGGUACUGAGACACGGACCCAGGCCCUAUGGGGCGCAGCAGGCGAGAAAACUUUGCAAUGUGCGAAAGCACGACAAGGUUAAUCCGAGUGAUUUGUGCUAAACGAAUCUUUUGUUAGUCCUAGAAACACUAACGAAUAAGGGGUGGGCAAGUUCUGGUGUCAGCCGCCGCGGUAAAACCAGCACCUCAAGUGGUCAGGAUGAUUAUUGGGCCUAAAGCAUCCGUAGCCGGCUCUGUAAGUUUUCGGUUAAAUCUGUACGCUCAACGUACAGGCUGCCGGGAAUACUGCAGAGCUAGGGAGUGGGAGAGGUAGACGGUACUCGGUAGGAAGGGGUAAAAUCCUUUGAUCUAUUGAUGACCACCUGUGGCGAAGGCGGUCUACCAGAACACGUCCGACGGUGAGGGAUGAAAGCUGGGGGAGCAAACCGGAUUAGAUACCCGGGUAGUCCCAGCUGUAAACUAUGCAAACUCAGUGAUGCAUUGACUUGUGGUCAAUGCAGUGCUGCAGGGAAGCCGUUAAGUUUGCCGCCUGGGAAGUACGUACGCAAGUAUGAAACUUAAAGGAAUUGGCGGGGGAGCACCACAAGGGGUGAAGCCUGCGGUUCAAUUGGAGUCAACGCCGGGAA
This 916-nucleotide ribosomal RNA is filed under the name uncultured euryarchaeote. RNAcentral's name for it is "bacterial SSU rRNA". It matches the Rfam family "Archaeal small subunit ribosomal RNA", at positions 1 to 924 of the family's 1478-position model. The record is from RNAcentral. Lineage: Archaea; Methanobacteriati; Methanobacteriota.